UCUGGCAAAGAGAUUUGCAGAGUGUCGGGUGACCGGCAAAGAGAUCUGCAAAGUGUCAGUUGAAGACGACGGGAGGGGUCGCAGAGGUAGCAACGACUGGAGUAUAACAUGAAGGAGAUCAUCUGGCAAAGAGAUUUGCAGAGUGUCGGGUGACCGGCAAAGAGAUCUGCAAAGUGUCAGUUGAAGACGACGGGAGGGGUUGCAGAGGUAGCAACGACUGGAGUAUAACAUGAAGGAGAUCACCGUUUGGCAAAGUUCUGGCUAAGAGAUUUGCAGAGUGUCGGGUGACCGGCAAAGAGAUCUGCAAAGUGUCAGUUGAAGACGAUGGGAGGGGUCGCAGAGGAAUUAGUGACUGGAGAAUAGCAU
Pseudophryne corroboree (corroboree frog) is the source of this 366-nucleotide long non-coding RNA. RefSeq lists it as uncharacterized. NCBI's taxonomy places the organism in Eukaryota, Metazoa, Chordata, Amphibia, Anura, Myobatrachidae. The record is from RefSeq and is a predicted model, not a curated record. The transcript is spliced from 3 exons.